Molecule: ribosomal RNA, 461 nt
Filed under: uncultured bacterium
Lineage: Bacteria
Description: partial 16S ribosomal RNA
Rfam family: Bacterial small subunit ribosomal RNA
Source: RNAcentral
ACGAACGCUGGCGGCGUGCUUCACACAUGCAAGUCGAGCGGUAAGGCCUUUCGGGGUACCCGAGCGGCGAACGGGUGAGUAACACGUGGGUGAUCUGCCCUGCACUUCGGGAUAAGCCUGGGAAACUGGGUCUAAUACCGGAUAUGACCUCCUAUCGCAUGGUGGGUGGUGGAAAGAUUUAUCGGUGCAGGAUGGGCCCGCGGCCUAUCAGCUUGUUGGUGGGGUAAUGGCCUACCAAGGCGACGACGGGUAGCCGACCUGAGAGGGUGACCGGCCACACUGGGACUGAGACACGGCCCAGACUCCUACGGGAGGCAGCAGUGGGGAAUAUUGCACAAUGGGCGAAAGCCUGAUGCAGCGACGCCGCGUGAGGGAUGACGGCCUUCGGGUUGUAAACCUCUUUCAGCAGGGACGAAGCGCAAGUGACGGUACCUGCAGAAGAAGCACCGGCUAACUACGUG